GGCCCCUUCGUCUAGCGGUUAGGACGUAUGGUUCUCAGCCAUAAAACAGGGGUUCGAUUCCCCUAGGGGCUACCA
This 75-nucleotide transfer RNA is filed under the name Candidatus Latescibacterota bacterium. RNAcentral describes it as "tRNA-Glu". It matches the Rfam family "tRNA". From Rfam's summary of the family: Transfer RNA (tRNA) molecules are approximately 80 nucleotides in length. Their secondary structure includes four short double-helical elements and three loops (D, anti-codon, and T loops). Lineage: Bacteria; Pseudomonadati; Candidatus Latescibacterota. The record is from RNAcentral. RNAcentral also lists the same sequence under 2 other names.